RNAcentral lists this unclassified non-coding RNA (303 nucleotides) under uncultured fungus. RNAcentral describes it as "sequence contains ITS2". The stretch from base 1 to 52 matches the Rfam family "5.8S ribosomal RNA", at positions 103 to 154 of the family's 154-position model. Lineage: Eukaryota; Fungi. The record is from RNAcentral.
AACGCACCUUGCGCCCUUUGGUAUUCCGAAGGGCAUGCCUGUUUGAGUGUCAUUAAAUUCUCAACCUUGCAAGCUUGCUUGCGAGGCUUGGAUGUGAGGGUUUUUGCUGGCUUCCUUUAGUUGGAUGGUCUGCUCCCUUUAAAUUCAUUAGUGGGAUCCUUUGUGGAUGGUCACUUGGUGUGAUAAUUAUCUACGCCGUCUGAUCCUGAAACAAGACUUGUGGGGACCUGCUUAUAACCGUCUCUUUGGAGACAAUCUUGACAAUUUGACCUCAAAUCAGGUAGGACUACCCGCUGAACUUAA